GACGAACGCUGGCGGCGUGCUUAACACAUGCAAGUCGAACGGAAAGGCCCUGCUUUUGUGGGGUGCUCGAGUGGCGAACGGGUGAGUAACACGUGAGUAACCUGCCCUUGACUUUGGGAUAACUUCAGGAAACUGGGGCUAAUACCGGAUAGGAGCUCCUGCUGCAUGGUGGGGGUUGGAAAGUUUCGGCGGUUGGGGAUGGACUCGCGGCUUAUCAGCUUGUUGGUGGGGUAGGGGCUUACCAAGGCUUUGACGGGUAGCCGGCCUGGGAGGGUGACCGGCCACCUUGGGACUAAGGUACGGCGCAGACUCCUACGGGAGGCAGCAGUGGGAAAUAUUGCACAGUGGGCGGAAGCCUGAUGCAGCAACGCCGCGUGCGGGAUGACGGCCUUCGGGUUGUGAACCGCUUUCGCCUGUGACGAAGCGUGAGUGACGGUAAUGGGUAAAGAAGCACCGGCUAACUACGUG
This 468-nucleotide ribosomal RNA is filed under the name uncultured bacterium. RNAcentral's name for it is "partial 16S ribosomal RNA". It matches the Rfam family "Bacterial small subunit ribosomal RNA", at positions 28 to 507 of the family's 1533-position model. The record is from RNAcentral.